GAUGAACGCUGGCGGCGUGCCUAAUACAUGCAAGUCGAGCGAACAGACGAGGAGCUUGCUCCUCUGACGUUAGCGGCGGACGGGUGAGUAACACGUGGAUAACCUACCUAUAAGACUGGGAUAACUUCGGGAAACCGGAGCUAAUACCGGAUAACAUGUUGAACCGCAUGGUUCAACAGUGAAAGACGGUUUUGCUGUCACUUAUAGAUGGAUCCGCGUCGCAUUAGCUAGUUGGUAAGGUAACGGCUUACCAAGGCAACGAUGCGUAGCCGACCUGAGAGGGUGAUAGGCCACACUGGAACUGAGACACGGUCCAGACUCCUACGGGAGGCAGCAGUAGGAAUCUUCCGCAAUGGGCGAAAGCCUGACGGAGCAACGCCGCGUGAGUGAAGAAGGUCUUCGGAUCGUAAAACUCUGUUAUUAGGGAAGAACAAAUGUGUAAGUAACUAUGCACGUCUUGACGGUACCUAAUCAGAAAGCCACGGCUAACUACGUG
Molecule: ribosomal RNA, 496 nt
Filed under: uncultured bacterium
Lineage: Bacteria
Description: partial 16S ribosomal RNA
Rfam family: Bacterial small subunit ribosomal RNA
Source: RNAcentral